Chinchilla lanigera (long-tailed chinchilla) is the source of this 3949-nucleotide long non-coding RNA. RefSeq lists it as uncharacterized. Lineage: Eukaryota; Metazoa; Chordata; Mammalia; Rodentia; Chinchillidae. The record is from RefSeq and is a predicted model, not a curated record. The transcript is spliced from 3 exons.
CUCCCCUGCCACCCCCAACACCUAGGAUACAGUCGGUGCUCAAUACGUACUGUGGCCCCUCGGGGCUGCCCACCUCCUCCGACAAGAAGCGGCCAUGGCACCCCCACGAGUGGGGCCAGAGCGGAGCCCACCUGCCCCACGCCACAGGGCUGUCACCACCCGAGGGCCAGCCCUGCCCGACACAGAGGGCACGCGUGUGACGUGUGACACGCACGCACGCACGCACCUGAUCCUCCUUGCCUCUCCCUCUUUCAGCUCCUGCAUCCUGGGGCCUGGCAAGCCCUGUGUGUGUCAGUGUCCCUUCGAGGGUCCCAGGACCAAGGAAGGCCCCUUCCUUUCUGUCCCUUGGUGCCCCUGGUCACUGGGGUAGGGGUGAGUCAGGGACUUUAGGCCAGGGAUGAAGUAGCUGGUGCCCAGGCUCUAAAGCUGCAGCCCCAAAUUCAAAUCCAAUUACUCGUCAGGGUUUUAUAUCCAGUUAUUCAGGUUGUGCACUGCACAAGGAGAAGCUGCGCCCGUUCUGCGAGCCUUUACCAGGUGGCUGAGGACGGCACCUGGGGCCCCAUGCACGCCAGGUGGGUGCCGAGCACUGAGCUCCAGGCCCGUUGUGUCAAGCUCCGGCAGAUGGCAGCGCAGGAACCGGCCGGCUCAAAGUCAGGGGGUGUGGUCGUCUUGUCACAGCUGCCCCCGUUCUCCUGGGACCCGCCACCUGUCCCCAGGACUUCCUACCUGGAAGGAGCAGCAGAGGGGCUCACGGUGCUGCUGGGGCACAGUGGCAUCUCGGGGACUCUGUGAUGCCCAGGAAGUGCUGGGCAGGCCUUUGCCCUGCUUACCGUCCCCUGACCUGCAGCUCUGCAGAGUGGCACUGGCCCCUGGUGCCUCAGUUUACCCAAUCUGAAGCAGCAGUGCUUCUCCCGGGUCGCGCCCGUCACUCCCGAGCCCUGCUCCAGCCUGGCCCGACUCUCGCCCUUGAGCUUGUCCAAAUUUGGUGCUGCCUGGCGUCUGAACCCCGUUUCCUGCCCCCCCCCCCCGCCGCCUGGCUGCCAGCGAGGCCGUCGCUGAAGGCCCCCCUCCAAAUCCCCAGGAGCUGCCCAGAGAGGAAAUCCUCUUCCUCCACCAGCUGGAAGCUACAGAGUGUUGCUUUGGGAGUUUUUUGGCUUCCACAUGGCGGAAUGUUCUAGCCUUGGCGGCCACAGGCCCUCCCCUCUUGGCAGGGUCUCUCCAGCCCAAGCCUCUCCGUCCCCCAACCCAGGCCUCAGCAGACCUCAGCAGCCCACCUGACAGGAGCAGGGAAGCACAGGCUGCGGUCCCGAGACCAAGGGCAGGAGGAGGAGAUCCCGGCCGGGGACCCUGCACGGCCUCUGCCGGAGCUCCGCAGCACCCCGGCGGGGCGCAGGUUCCUAGACACACGCGCCCAGGCUGACGGACGCCGGGGAUUAUGAGGCUCCAGGACCAAUUAGGGCUGUUUGCGCUGACGUCAAGUCUGGGUGGUUUCUCCUUCCCUUCGCAGGAGUUUAUAGCCCCAGGGGCGCACGGCAGUGAGGCUGCCCGCGGGGUCCUCGUGGGACCAGGUCCCCUGUGCUGUCCCCGCGUGCUCGAGGACAGGUCAGCGCAACUCCUGAGCACCUACUCUGUGUGCCGGGGAGGCCCAGGGCGCAACAGCCUGUGGUGCGGCCCGAGCUACACGCCCGGCCACAGCAGCACGUGCAUGCCACCCCGUGGCGGGGACGUGAGCGCAGUGACCUUGUCCCUCCUGGGCCCAGGAGGCGGUGGAGCCUUCUGCCUUGGGGAGUCCACUCCCUUUGGGGGCCACUGGACGGGGUAAGGACGCUGUGUGCCCCGACUCUCACACGACACGGAGCACAGUCCCUGUCCCGUGACAGCAAGACCACCGGAGGAGGGCGGGCGCCCUGCACCCCACAAACCUUCACGCAGACACGCACUGCUUUGGCGCCUACUGUAUUCAAGAGGAAGGAGCCAUGCACACACAACAUCCUCCGAGCUGGCCCUAGAGUUUGUUAACCUGUGUGCAUGAGCGUGAGCGUGAGUGUGAGAGUGUGUGUGUGUGUGUCUUCUCCUACUAUAGUUUUCCUGCGGUGCCGAGGCAGCACCCCGGCCCUACACGCGUGUUUUGUGCAGCAGUCUGCAUGGCCGCUGUGCCGUGGGAUCAAACUUGCCUUGGUGGUGGGGAAGGGGGCCGGGGCGUGGUUCCGGCGGCAGGAAGGCGAUCCUGGUCCCGACGCCGGUCCCCUCGCCCCCUCCCCCAAGGCCGCCUCCUUUGCCUCCACGUGCUGCCCUGUGACGGUGUGCGUGAGCUGCAGGGAGGGGCGGCGAGAUGGACGGGGCCAGGUGGGGACGGCCUGGCGCCAGAUCGGCAGGAACAGCGGAGGCCGGGCCCCCCACACUGGGCCGUGUUCCCAAGUCGCGACCACCCAGGGAGGCUCUGACCCAACCUGGGGCAGCUGAGGCCCAGCCCAUUCCGGGAGGGGCUGGCGGCCUCCAGGGCACGGCACUCAGGAGUCCUGUGCAGCCGCUCGUCCGGAAGGUCUUCCUGCAGGCCCACUGUGCGCCAGGACGGCUGUGUGCGGGACAGCUGAGAGGGCGCCGAGCCCGCAUCCUCACUCUCGGGCAGCCAGCACUCGAUUUGACCUGAUUCUACCCGCUUCUGAGCAUAGGCGGUGUCAGAGUUUGAAUUCUGGGAUCCCCCAAGGCUUGUGUGUUCCUGGCUGGGGUUUGGGUUAGAUUCUGGGGCUCUGACUGCAUCACGUGGAGCAAUCCAGCCAUGGGCUUGUUAGCGGACCUGCUUCCUGGGAGGCAGAGUUCACUGGGUGAGGGGGGCACUGGGCAUGGCUUUGCGGGACACAGGCUGUGCCUGCCUCUUCCUCUCCGGCUUUUCUCGUCCCUGUGCUUCCUGACCGCCACAAACCGAGGCUCUCUCCCCUGCCAGGCCCUCCCGCCACGAUCGCCCUGCCUUGACGCGGCAGACCAUGGACUGAGCCCUCUGCAGCCACGAGCCAAGUUAACCCUCCCCGCCUUCAAGUGUGCUGUCAGGUGUCUUGUCCCAGCAACUGAACGUGGACUGGUGUGUGUGCUGAGAUACUUCGCCAUGCCGCACAGUUCUGUCCCUGCCUCGGCUCCAGGAUGACAUAGUUCCUGCCCAUUUCUCAAAUGGGGACAGUGAGCCCAGAGGGGGUGCGGAGCCGGCACCAGGACUGAGCCAGUGAGGUCGGAUUUGAGGCCCCUCCCCCCGAGGCCUAACCACUGAGUUCCCAGCAGCUAAGCCCCAGCCUCAGGCAGGACCGGCGCUCCUGGGUGUGGGGCGAUCUCCUCGGGUCAGUCUGGGCCUGCUCUGCAGGAAGCCCUGGUUCCUGCCAGGGCCCCUCAACGCGGCUGGGAAGGAGUGUGAGUUUGGGGGACCCCUGAGGCUCUUGCCUUCAUCAGCCGAGGAUAACAACUCCCACCUGAGGCCAAGUCUCAGCGAGGCUCGCCGUGGGAAGAGUGCUCAGCAUGGGCUUUGUGUAAAGUGAGGGUCCACUCAGUGCGCUUACACAGUGAACAACCUGGCUAACCGUACCUGUGCACAUCCUCGUGUCCCUUUCCUUAAAAGGCUGUACUGUUGAACCGAGAGAGGGCUGGCCUCGAGGGCGGAGGACGUGGGCGGCUGAGGCCUCAGGAGAGGCUAACGCGCUGCUAUUCCCGAUCUCCCCGUGCUUCCAACCACUGCGCCGCUCAGCACAGGGCCCAGACCGCAGCAGCCGGGAAUCUGCAGAAGGGGACACAGCUGUUGGCUACAAAGGCCCGCACAUGAGGAGACCGGCUCCCAUGCACCCCAUGUCCGCCAGGGGGCGCCUCAGGGCCAGAACUUCCAGGCCCGGAAACGGCGCAGAAUGGUUCUAAGUUUGCUUUUUCAGCCCGCGGCCCUGGACGCUGCAGUGCUGAGGGAGGGAUCGUC